This 426-nucleotide ribosomal RNA is filed under the name uncultured bacterium. Its description in RNAcentral is "bacterial SSU rRNA". It matches the Rfam family "Bacterial small subunit ribosomal RNA", at positions 354 to 796 of the family's 1533-position model. The record is from RNAcentral.
GUAACGAAUCUUCCGCAAUGCGCGAAAGCGUGACGGGGCAAUGCCGCGUGCAGGAUGAAGCCCUUCGGGGUGUAAACUGCUGUCAGGGUUCAGGAAACAAAUGACCAGACCCAAAGGAAGAGGCGGCUAACUCUGUGCCAGCAGCCGCGGUAAUACAGAGGCCUCGAGCGUUAAUCGGAAUCACUGGGCUUAAAGCGUGCGUAGGCGGACGUGCAAGCAUGUUGUGAAAUCCCAUGGCUCAACCAUGGAACUGCUUCGUGAACUGCAUGUCUUGAGGCGAGUAGGGGCGGCCGGAACGAUAGGUGGAGCGGUGAAAUGCGUAGAUAUCUAUCGGAACGCCAAAGGAGAAGUCAGGCCGCUGGGCUCGUUCUGACGCUGAGGCACGAAAGCGUGGGGAGCAAACGGGAUUAGAUACCCGAGUAGUCC